AUUCGCGAGCAAGAUCCAUUAAAACAAGGAUUGAAAC
Molecule: non-coding RNA, 37 nt
Organism: Methanosarcina mazei
Lineage: Archaea; Methanobacteriati; Methanobacteriota; Methanomicrobia; Methanosarcinales; Methanosarcinaceae
Source: Rfam